UUAAUACCGCAUAUAUCCUACGGGGGAAAGCAGGGGACCUUCGGGCCUUGCGCUAUUCGAUGAGCCUGAGUGAGAUUAGCUAGUUGGUGGGGUAAAGGCCUACCAAGGCGACGAUCUCUAGCUGGUCUGAGAGGAUGAUCAGCCACACUGGGACUGAGACACGGCCCAGACUCCUACGGGAGGCAGCAGUGGGGAAUAUUGCACAAUGGACGAAAGUCUGAUGCAGCCAUGCCGCGUGUGUGAAGAAGGCCUUCGGGUUGUAAAGCACUUUCAGCGAGGAGGAAAGGUCAGUAAGUAAUAUUUGCUGGCUGUGACGUUACUCGCAGAAGAAGCACCGGCUAAUUUAGUGCCAGCAGCCGCGGUAAUACUAAAGGUGCAAGCGUUAAUCGGAAUUACUGGGCGUAAAGCGCGCGUAGGUGGUUUGUUAAGUUGGAUGUGAAAGCCCAGGGCUCAACCUUGGAACUGCAUUCAAAACUGACUCACUAGAGUACGAGAGAGGUUAGUGGAAUUUCCUGUGUAGCGGUGAAUGCGUAGAGAUGGGAAGGAACACCAGU
Molecule: ribosomal RNA, 554 nt
Filed under: uncultured bacterium
Lineage: Bacteria
Description: bacterial SSU rRNA
Rfam family: Bacterial small subunit ribosomal RNA
Source: RNAcentral